This 895-nucleotide ribosomal RNA is filed under the name uncultured archaeon. RNAcentral describes it as "bacterial SSU rRNA". It matches the Rfam family "Archaeal small subunit ribosomal RNA", at positions 1 to 872 of the family's 1478-position model. The record is from RNAcentral.
UUCCGGUUGAUCCUGCCGGACCCCACUGCUAUCGGGAUGGGACUAAGACAUGCUAGUCGUGCGCCUCCAAGCCACGGUGGAGGCGCGGCGCACAGCUCAGUAACACGUGGCUAACCUGCCCUUGGGACGGGGACAACCCCGGGAAACUGGGGCUAAUCCCCGAUAGGUGAGGACUCCUGGAAUGGGUCCUCGCUGAAAGGGCGUCUAGACCAUGCUUCUAGACGUCGCCCAAGGAUGGGGCCGCGGCCGAUCAGGUAGUUGGUGAGGUAACGGCUCACCAAGCCUAUAACCGGUACGGGCCGUGAGAGCGGGAGCCCGGAGAUGGACACUGAGACAAGGGUCCAGGCCCUACGGGGCGCAGCAGUCGCGAAACCUCCGCAAUACGCGAAAGCGUGACGGGGCCAUCCCGAGUGCCGUCCGCUGAGGACGGCUUUUCCCCAGUGUAGACAGCUGGGGGAAUAAGGGGAGGGCAAGUCGGGUGUCAGCCGCCGCGGUAAUACCCGCUCCCCGAGUGGUGGGGACGCUUAUUGGGCCUAAAGCAUCCGUAGCCGGCUGGACAAGUCCCCUGUUAAAUCCAGCGAUUCAAUCGCUGGACUGCGGGGGAUACUGUCCAGCUAGGGGGCGGGAGAGGCCGGCGGUAUUCCCGGGGUAGGGGUGAAAUCUUAUAAUCCCGGGAGGACCACCAGUGGCGAAGGCUGCCGGCUGGAACGCGCCCGACGGUGAGGGGCGAAAGCCGGGGGAGCAAAGGGGAUUAGAUACCCCUGUAGUCCCGGCCGUAAACGAUGCGGGCUAGCUGUCGGCCGGGCUUAGGGCCCGGCCGGUGGCGAAGGGAAACCGUUAAGCCCGCCGCCUGGGGAGUACGGCCGCAAGGCUGAAACUUAAAGGAAUUGGCGGG